Monomorium pharaonis (pharaoh ant) is the source of this 328-nucleotide long non-coding RNA. RefSeq lists it as uncharacterized. The record is from RefSeq and is a predicted model, not a curated record. NCBI's taxonomy places the organism in Eukaryota, Metazoa, Arthropoda, Insecta, Hymenoptera, Formicidae. The transcript has 2 exons.
CAAUGCCGCGCCGCAUUUGUGCAGAUACGUCUGCGAUCGCCAUUGACGUAAUGAGAUCUGCAAGGAAAUCCGCCACGUUCAGGAAAUCACAGUCGCCGCGCAACGCGAUCGAUCUACGCAUUAUCUCUAGCACACGAUGACUCGAAUGACGAUAAGUUAUAAUCUGUGACAAUCUCAGAAAGGCCUGAUUUUACUUCUUUUUUAAUUAAUUUUUUGAAAUUCUGGAUUCAAUAUUAAUUAUGAAGUAAUCGGUAAAUUUGAUUCAAAAAAACGUGUAAAGGAUUCUAAAAGAACUGAAUAAUUAUGUUACAUUAAUGUUCAAACCAAA